RNAcentral lists this ribosomal RNA (228 nucleotides) under uncultured bacterium. RNAcentral's name for it is "partial 16S ribosomal RNA". It matches the Rfam family "Bacterial small subunit ribosomal RNA", at positions 568 to 796 of the family's 1533-position model. The record is from RNAcentral.
UGCGCAGGCGGAAUGAUUAGUCAGUGGUGAAAGCCCUCGGCUCAACCGAGGAACUGCCAUUGAUACUGUCAUUCUUGAGUACAGUUGUAGUGGGCGGAAUGUGUCAUGUAGCGGUGAAAUGCAUAGAGAUGACACAGAACACCGAUCGCGAAGGCAGCUCACUAAGCUGAAACUGACGCUCAGGCACGAAAGCGUGGGGAGCGAUCAGGAUAGAUACCCUGGUAGUCC